This 65-nucleotide transfer RNA is filed under the name Berghia stephanieae. RNAcentral describes it as "tRNA-Cys". It matches the Rfam family "tRNA". Rfam says of the family: Transfer RNA (tRNA) molecules are approximately 80 nucleotides in length. Their secondary structure includes four short double-helical elements and three loops (D, anti-codon, and T loops). The record is from RNAcentral. Lineage: Eukaryota; Metazoa; Mollusca; Gastropoda; Nudibranchia; Aeolidiidae.
GAAGUAAUAGUUUAAGUUGUUAAAACGUUAAGUUGCAAUCUUAAAAUUGAGGUUCUCUUACUUUU